RNAcentral lists this unclassified non-coding RNA (292 nucleotides) under Hevea brasiliensis (rubber tree). Lineage: Eukaryota; Viridiplantae; Streptophyta; Magnoliopsida; Malpighiales; Euphorbiaceae. The record is from RNAcentral.
UAGGGGUUCACUUAUUCUAAACUUCUCCAUUACUCUAUGAUUUAUAUUGCUCAUUUUUUGAGGUUAAAGUGUAGUCUAAUUAAACCUAGUGAAACUUGAACAAUCUCAAAACUCACUCACAUGCUAUAUUUUCACAUCCUACUACCAACUUUCAUGGCAUAACCAUGAAAGAGAUAGAUAAAAACAGUGGCAAUAUGGAUAAACAAACAAAACCAACCAAACUAUGACAACAUCCACACUUUAUGUGUAACUCACCAAAUACAUGAUAACUAAAAUGGUGCCAAGCAAAAAG